CGGACGGCGGCCGCUCCCCCUGCGCGCGCCGCCCGCCGGCCGCCAUGCCGCCCUCGACGGCGCUGCCGCUGCUGCUGCUGCUGCUGGCGGCCGGGGCCAGCGCCAAGGCACAGGAGACACAAGACUACUACGACGAAGAUUACUAUGGCGAGGGCUACGACUAUUAUUACAACGGCAACGGCAACGGCGCCACCGACCCGGCCACCGGUACGCCGGACGAUAGUGUAACACCGCCGGCUGACCCGGCCGGCGGCCAGGGCCGGACUUCUUACAGCUACAACUACGAGAGCAGCAGGACCACCAGCGGCGACACCGCCGCAGCCGGCGCACGGGAUGACAGACUUCGUCAGGAGCAGGAGAGACGGCGCCAGGAGGCCGAGGCAAGAGCUCGUGCAGAGGCAGAGGCCAGAGCUCGCGCUGAGGCAGAGGCAAGAGCUCGUGCAGAGGCGGAGGCUAGAGCUCGUGCAGAGGCCGAGGCCAGGGCCCGUGAAGAAGCCGACGCCAGGGCCCGUGAAGAAGCUGAGGCAAGAGCCCGUGCGGAGGCCGAAGAACGAGCAAGGCAAGAGCAGGCGGCGGAAGAGGCAAGGCGACAGGCGGAGGAGGCAAGGCGACGAGAGGCGGAGGAGGCCAGGCGGCGAGAGGCGGAGGCGCGCGAGCAGGCGGAGCGGCAGCGUCUCGGUUUCGGCCGGGCGAGCGAGGGCGGCAGCGGGCAGGCCGGCCAGUUCCCAGGCGGCUGCUCAUUCGACGGCCAGUUUUACGCCGACGGCGCCGAGUUCUCCCUGGACGAGUGCGGCGAGUGCCGCUGCGAGAACGGCCGGCUCAACUGCGACUCGGGCCGGUGCGGCGGCGACCGGUGCGACGGCGUUCAGUGCGAGGAGAUCGAGUGCGACACGCAGCAGUACAUUCCGCUGGGCGAGUGCUGCCCGAUCUGUGCCGUGACGGACCUGGGCACCGGCCAGGGUCCUGGCACCGCUGCACGGGGACCGGGACCCCAGCCACCGGAUCUGCAGGGUGUCACCGGCGACCCCGGCCCCACCGGUCCGCCGGGCCAGCCGGGCACGCCGGGUACACCGGGCACCCCCGGCCAGCCGGGAGGGCCGGGACCCACGGCCGACCCGUCCAACUACAUUGCUCAGCUACAGGCGUCACUGGGAGGAGACAAGGGACCGGCCCAGCCGCUCUACCUACAGGCGCAGACCGGACCGGCCGGGGCCCGCGGCGCGCCUGGCCCUCCCGGCCCGUCGGGACCGCAGGGUUUCCAAGGAGUGCGAGGAGAGCCAGGUGAUCCAGGACCUCCGGGCCCCGUCGGCAGCCCAGGACCCAGAGGCGUGCCCGGCAUCCCCGGAAAAGAUGGCGAGAACGGCGAGGACGGUUCUCCGGGCCCUGCGGGCGCCCAGGGCCCCACCGGGCCCCGCGGCCUCCCCGGGAUGCCCGGAAUGCCGGGACCCAAGGGCCACCGCGGCUUCCCCGGCACGGACGGCGCCAAGGGCGAGAUCGGUCUGCCCGGGGAGAAGGGCGGCAUCGGACCGGCCGGCCGGCCAGGAGAGCCAGGACCACUGGGUCCCGCUGGUCCCCGCGGGGAGCGAGGCAGGGACGGACCACCCGGUCCGGCCGGUCUCCGCGGCAUUGACGGCAUCGCUGGACCGCCUGGUCCACCGGGCGCGGCCGGCAAGUCGGGACCUCCCGGCUUCCCCGGUAGUCCUGGAGCGAAGGGUGACCGAGGCGCUGAGGGACCCAAGGGCAGCGUGGGACUCCAGGGACCUCGCGGUGAGGCCGGCGCGCCCGGUCUGCCCGGCGAACAGGGCGCCCCCGGCAGGCCCGGAAAGGACGGAGCCGAUGGCGAAAAGGGCAGCUUCGGAGCCCCCGGACCGAUGGGCCCGCCAGGCUUCGCCGGCCCUCGGGGCCCGCCGGGUAACUCCGGCAGUCCCGGCCUGCCCGGACAGAAGGGAGAACAGGGUCUCACCGGCUCCCGCGGCCUGAAGGGCUCUGUGGGAUCCAAGGGCGACUCCGGAGAGAUGGGAGCCCGCGGCGCGCCGGGCCCGCCCGGAUCGGACGGCCGACGCGGCCGGCGGGGUCUGCGGGGCCCUCCGGGUCUGCUGGGCCCUCAGGGCGAGCGGGGCCCGCCCGGCUCGCGCGGCCUGCCCGGUGCCGAUGGCCCGCCCGGUCUGAAGGGUUCCGUGGGCGACCGUGGCCAGCCAGGCGCCAUGGGACAGAAGGGCUCGACUGGAGACACCGGCCGACCGGGACCGCCCGGACUGGUGGGCGAGCGAGGUCUGCAGGGCCGCACUGGCAGCCCCGGCCGUCCGGGCCGCACGGGAGACCGUGGUCUGCCCGGAGCUGACGGCAAGAACGGAGAGAUGGGCGCCACCGGAGCGCCGGGUCUUCCCGGACCCGUGGGACCCAUCGGAGCUCAGGGUCGACCGGGAGAAUCAGGCAAGGACGGCAAGCCUGGUGAGGCCGGUCCUCCAGGACCACGCGGUGACGCCGGCCGUGACGGACCAAUGGGACCAAUUGGACCACCUGGACCUCCGGGGUCGGCCGGUGCCCGCGGUCCCGUCGGACAGACGGGCGCCCGCGGCUUCCAGGGACCUCCUGGAACUCCGGGUAGCCCUGGCAACCCUGGCAAGGACGGCGAGACUGGUCUGCAGGGCCCCACCGGACCGCCCGGAGAGAGCGGUCCCCGCGGCGCCCGCGGCUUCCGAGGUGAACGCGGCGCCAUGGGUCCUCCCGGAGAGGCGGGCCAGCGCGGCGAGCAGGGCGCCAUCGGUCCCGAUGGACCGCCCGGCCCCAUCGGACCCACCGGAGAAAAGGGCCACCGAGGAGCGCCCGGACUUGUGGGUCUGCCCGGCAGGCGCGGUCUGCAAGGCCAAGCUGGCCCCAAGGGCGAGAUCGGCUCUCAGGGCAAGAUAGGACCGGAGGGCCCCGCCGGCCGGCCGGGCCCGCAGGGUCUCCAGGGAGAGAUGGGUCCCAUGGGCCCGCCGGGCCAGUCCGGAGAGCGUGGAGAACCGGGCUCCCCCGGACCCCCGGGAGAGAUCGGCAAACCGGGUCUGCUGGGCGCGCGCGGUCCGCCCGGCCCGCAGGGCCUGCGUGGCUUCCCCGGUCAGCAGGGCAUCACUGGAUCGACCGGCCCAAAGGGACAGCAGGGCCUGCCAGGACAGAAGGGAGCCCAGGGAAACCCGGGAACCGAAGGAAAGCCUGGUCCGGUGGGCGCUCCGGGCCCUUUGGGUCUCACGGGAGCCAAGGGCUCUCGCGGAGACCCGGGACCGGUGGGCCCCUCCGGCUCGGCGGGGCCCCCUGGCCGGCCGGGCGAGCAGGGCCCGCAGGGCCUCCAGGGCGCCACCGGCCAGCCGGGUCUGGCCGGCCUGCCGGGCAUCAAGGGCGCGCAGGGCGACAUCGGCCGGCCGGGCAUGCCGGGCGCCGCCGGAAACCCGGGCAGCCCCGGACCGGAGGGCGUCAAGGGCAGCUCUGGCUCUCCGGGCCUGCCAGGCCUGAUCGGACCCGUCGGCCCUCCGGGAGCCGCCGGCGAGCGCGGCCUUCCUGGUCUCCCCGGGGGCCCGGGACCCAAGGGACCCCAGGGACAGCGCGGAUCACCGGGAGAGCCGGGAGAGGUGGGAUCUCGCGGCCUGGAAGGCCCUCAGGGCCAGCCGGGUCUGCGGGGCCCGCCCGGAAACCCGGGUCCGGCCGGAGAGCAGGGCCCCAUCGGUCCCGAGGGCAAGGUCGGCGCGCCGGGCAUCAGCGGCCGUCCUGGCGACAAGGGCCCGCCGGGAGACGCUGGGCAGCCGGGCAUCGCUGGACCGCCCGGCCUGCAGGGCGCCCCGGGUCCGGUCGGCCCGCCGGGACCCACCGGCGAGCGGGGCGAGCGCGGCGAGCCCGGUAUCCAGGGAGUGGAAGGCCCCACCGGCGAGCGCGGCAAACAGGGCCCGCCCGGCCUGCAGGGGCCCCGCGGAGAGCGAGGCCCCGAGGGCGGAAAGGGAGACAAGGGCCACCGCGGUCUGCUCGGUCUGCAGGGACUGCCAGGCCCGGGCGGUCCUCCUGGAGAGAAGGGUCCGCCGGGUACCCCGGGUCGGCCGGGCAACCCCGGCGAGCAGGGCAUGAAGGGCCCGCCCGGCAUGGACGGCGUGGCCGGUCCACAGGGCAUCGCCGGCCCGCCGGGCCCGCGCGGCCCCGCCGGUGACUCGGGCCGGCCCGGCCAGCCGGGAGCGCCCGGACCCGCCGGCCCGCCCGGUCCCCCCGGAGAGUCCGUCGGAUUCGACGUGGCCGCUCUGCAGGCGUUCAUGCAGCCGUCAUCGAAGGGUCCGGACCCGCUCAACAGCGACGAGCCGGCGCGACUCGGCAAGGAUCUGACCGACGACGAGCGUAAGGAGAUCGUCCUGAUGGCCUACAACCAGCUGCAGGACAAGUUCAAGACGCUGAUGAAGCCAGACGGCAGCGCCGACGCUCCUGCCAAGACGUGCCGCGACCUGGCCGCCGCCUACCCGGACAAGGAGAACGGCGACUACUGGAUCGAUCCGAACGGCAGCGACAAGAAGGACGCCAUCUUUGUCUACUGCGACAUCGGCCGGCGGAUGACGUGCAUCAACCCGAACCCGCCGGCCACGGGAGAGAUGGCCGCCUCCAAACGCAGCCGCGAGCACCAGUGGUUCUCCGAGGACAUCGACGGAGGAUUCGAGUUCUCGUAUAAGGCGGACCGGAACCAGAUCGGUUUCCUGCAGCUGUUGUCGACACACGCCGAGCAGAACAUCACCUAUCACUGCCUGAACCACGUGGCCGUGUACAACGCCCAGAGGCAGACGUACCGCGGCAGUCUGCGCCUCAUGAGCUGGAACGACCAGGAGAUCUACGCGCGAGGCCGUAACCGAUACAACGUCAUCGACGACGGCUGUCAGUCCUCGCCGUCGUACUGGGGCCAGACGGCCAUCCAGGUGGAGACUAAGCGCACUCAGCGCCUGCCUCUGACCGACAUCGGCCUGCGCUCGAUCGGCCGGCCCGACCAGAAGUUCAAGAUAGAGCUGGGCCCGGCCUGCUUCUAUUAGAGGCCGGCGAGAUGGGAACCAACACUGCCACACGGACGAGAGAGGAAGUCACGUGUCCGGCCUCCUCCGUCCCAGGAGAUAGCGGAAGCAGCAGCAGCAGCAGCGGGAGAGGAGGUCGAGGAGGAGAAGGAGGAACUAAUAGAAAUUAUAAAAAUAAACAAAAGAUAAAUGGAGAAGCAGGAUAUUUAGAAGUCAGGAGAAAAGACCACAGCGGAGGAGCAGGAGUCUGAGAUCAGAGGACUCUGUUAGAACAGAGAGCCGCAGUGCGGCGCGGAGGAGAGACCGACCCGGGCAGGGAGGUGACCAGUGACGAUUUGUGAUGUGAUGACGUGCCGGAGGACAGGAGGACAGGGAGGGGGAGCGCGGUGUGUCGGUCGGGCCGUCCGGCGGCUGACCGAUCCGGCCCCCACCGCCUCCAUGUGAUGGCCUCGAGAGAACGAGAGACAGUCGGCCGAGGCAUCUAGGCUCUAAGUAUUUUUAUAUGUCUGUGACGUAGAUAGUCCUAGGUUAAGGAGCAGUACUUGUGCAAUAAUAUUAUUCUUUGUGCUUGAGCUUGCGUGAUUUGCUUAUAUGUGGUGUACGCGUACUUUAAGUCCCCUGUGAUGUGUUCUGCAGCCCACCUGACGAUCGUAAUUAAGUAAUUAAGGAAUAUACAUGCGAUGUUUGC
This 5700-nucleotide unclassified non-coding RNA is filed under the name Amphibalanus amphitrite. RNAcentral's name for it is "fibril-forming collagen alpha chain-like, transcript variant X3". Lineage: Eukaryota; Metazoa; Arthropoda; Thecostraca; Balanomorpha; Balanidae. The record is from RNAcentral.